GACAGAGGUCUCGAGCGUUAAUCGGAUUCAUUGGGCUUAAAGCGUGCGUAGGCGGGCCGUUAAGCGUUUCGUGAAAGCCCCCGGCUCAACCGGGGAACAGCGGGACGGACUGGCGGCCUUGAGGCAGGUAUGGGCGGACAGAACUGUCGGUGGAGCGGUGAAAUGCGUAGAGAUCGACAGGAAUGCCUAUGGUGAAGACGGUCCGCUGGGCCUGUCCUGACGCUCAGGCACGAAAGCGUGGGGAGCAAACAGGAUUAGAUACCCUGGUAGUCCACGCCGUAAACGAUGCGCACUGGAUCGGUGCCGGUCUGACCCGGUAUCGGUCGCAGGGAAACCGUUAAGUGCGCCGCCUGGGGAGUACGGUCGCAAGGCUAAA
This 376-nucleotide ribosomal RNA is filed under the name uncultured bacterium. RNAcentral describes it as "bacterial SSU rRNA". It matches the Rfam family "Bacterial small subunit ribosomal RNA", at positions 524 to 898 of the family's 1533-position model. The record is from RNAcentral.